GGGUGCCCCCUUUGUGGUCGGUGUACAGGUGGUGCAUGGUUGUCGUCAGCUCGUGUCGUGAGAUGUUGGGUUAAGUCCCGCAACGAGCGCAACCCUCGCCUAUGUUGCCAGCGGGUCAUGCCGGGGACUCAUGGGAGACUGCCGGGGUCAACUCGGAGGAAGGUGGGAUGACGUCAAAUCAUCAUGCCCCUUAUGUCCAGGGCUUCACGCAUGCUACAAUGGCCGGUACAAAGAGCUGCGAACCUGCAAGGGUGAGCGAAUCUCAAAAAGCCGGUCUCAGUUCGGAUUGGGGUCUGCAACUCGACCCCAUGAAGUCGGAGUCGCUAGUAAUCGCAGAUCAGCAACGCUGCGGUGAAUACGUUCCCGGGGCUU
This 372-nucleotide ribosomal RNA is filed under the name uncultured Tessaracoccus sp. RNAcentral's name for it is "bacterial SSU rRNA". It matches the Rfam family "Bacterial small subunit ribosomal RNA", at positions 1010 to 1382 of the family's 1533-position model. Lineage: Bacteria; Bacillati; Actinomycetota; Actinomycetes; Propionibacteriales; Propionibacteriaceae. The record is from RNAcentral.